GGAAGGAUCAUUAACACGUAUCCAACGUUAAACAACCCUGUGAACCUUCAUUCCUGCUCUCCUUGUCCCUUGAUAAAGCAAUCCCUGGUAAAUCACGCGAACGGUUGAUUCAGGGACCUCUUUGAUAUGCACUUGGAUUCGAUGCGGCGUCGUAAUUUAGACUUGGGUUCUGGAAGGCCAUCAACGAGUAAAAUCGUUGACGGACGAUAAAGGAUGCUGCCUAAAAGCAGAUCACUGGUCCUCACGGUCAGUGGACAAGUCUCUGGGCUUCGGCCCCCAUAUUAACCCCAAUUUUCCAUUCGGAGGAUGCGGAAACGCUCCUCAUAAAAACGAACAACUGUUAACAAUGGAUAUCUUGGUUCUCGCAACGAUGAAGAACGCAGCGAAAUGCGAUACGUAAUGCGAAUUGCAGAAUUCAGUGAAUCAUCGAAUCUUUGAACGCAAAUUGCGCUCCCGGGUUACCCCCGAGAGCACACCUCUCUGAGUGUCGGUUUAACCAAAUGUCACCAAUUUAUUGGUGUACGACAGACUGAGGGUAAGGAGUCUUGGCUCCUUUCCCUUUAAAUCUCAGCCGCACGACUGUGUGUGUUCGUGGCAAGUUGCUUCACUUAAUUGUGAAUCCAAUCCACAAACCCUACGUUAGGCAGCAAAAGAAACAAAUGAACGAAGCGUGUGAUAACCGCACCUUUCGGGGUACGGUACUCUGAGGUCUGUUUGCCCUAGCGCGUGAGAGAACAAAGUUCUGUCUGUGCGAAAGGUGAAUACUGCUUGGAUGUGCCAGUUGCUGGUUCGCGAUGCCGACGAAAUGGUUUUCUUCCACCCGUCUUGAAACACGGACCAAGGAGUCUAACAUAUAUGCGAGUAUUUGGGUGACAAACCCUGAUGCGUAAUGAAAGUAAAGAGCCGUAAGGCUUGAGGUAGGAAUCUCGCCCUCGGGUGGGAGGCACUAUCGACCGAUCGUUCGCUUGCGGAAGAUUGAGUAAUAGCAUAUCUGUUGGACCCGAAAGAUGGUGAUCUAUGCCUGAACAGGGUGAAGCCAGGGGAAACUCUGGUGGAAGCUCGUAGCGAUACUGACGUGCAAAUCGUUCGUCUGAUUUGGGUAUAGGGCGAAAGACUAAUCGAACCAUCUAGUAGCUGGUUCCCUC
RNAcentral lists this unclassified non-coding RNA (1145 nucleotides) under uncultured fungus. Its description in RNAcentral is "sequence contains 18S rRNA gene, ITS1, 5.8S rRNA gene, ITS2, 28S rRNA gene". It matches the Rfam family "Eukaryotic large subunit ribosomal RNA", at positions 386 to 961 of the family's 3401-position model. The record is from RNAcentral. Lineage: Eukaryota; Fungi.